Molecule: unclassified non-coding RNA, 3904 nt
Filed under: Limulus polyphemus (Atlantic horseshoe crab)
Lineage: Eukaryota; Metazoa; Arthropoda; Merostomata; Xiphosura; Limulidae
Description: d-glucuronyl C5-epimerase-like, transcript variant X3
Source: RNAcentral
GUUGAUAGGAGAAGGAAUAGCCCUAAGGCUUAGCAUCAAUUCGCCCUUCGAGCUCCGCUAGCGAUGAUGUCGGCGAUACUGAAAUAUUGGACAAGCCUCAGCGGUCCAAUGAGGAUGCGAGUAAACCUUCGAGCUUUACUGGCUGUCCUCAUUGUUUUCGUGACUGCUACAACUUUAACUUACUGGAUUCGAUGUGGAGACAUUCCCAGCGCUGACGUUAAAGGUAACCUCUAUAAUAUAGAAUCGAACGAUGACAACUACUUGGAAGAUGGCGUUGGCCCUCUAGCUCUGGAAGAAGUUCCUCGGGUUCGUACGCGAGGUGGAUUGAAGAACCUUGAUGACAUUGAUUGUCUUAUUAACGAAAAAUACACCGUACCGUGUAAGCAGGAGGAUGGUGAAGUUUAUGUCCCCUUUUCAUUCUUGCACGAGUACUUUGAGGUUUACGGGAAGGUUGUAAAGCACGAUGGUGAAGAACGUUUCGAAUGGCAACAUAGCUACUCCAAAGUUUACUACCCAAGAGGGAAGUACGACCCACAUGGGGUUUUUAUGUGGUUUGAGAACUAUAACGUUGGAGUAAGAGACCGGGUAUUGUGCAUCAGUGGAACGGAAGGUGUUCCUGUUUCAACUCAGUGGAACUCUCAAGGGCAUCUUUAUCCAAUCCAAAUUGCCCAGUUUGGCCUGAGCCACUUCAGUAAGAACCUCACCGAAAAGAACCCAUCCGUAAAACUGCUUGACGCUGGCAGGAUGUCUCCUUCAGCACAAUGGACACUGUCUACUAACAACAUCAAGUUCCCAUUAAACAGGGUUACUGAUGAGGUUAUAAAACUGCUUGAUGCUGGUGAGACACCUCCUCCAGUACAGUGGACAUUGUCUACUAACAACAAUGUUAAGUUCCCGCUAAACAGGGUGACUGAUGAGGUUACUAAUGGGAAAGUGCUGGAGUUCAAGAGCAGAAAAAAUGGUUCUGAUACCGGGUUCACCUUGACAUUAAAAGAAGAUUCCACCCAUAUGACUUUAACCUUUGACCUGAGGAUGAUGGCUAAUGUCACUGUGUCAGUGACCAUAGUGGGAGGAAAACGUACAAUCUAUAAGCUGCACUAUGUAAUGACUGAUGCACUUAUGUCUGCACAUGUAAAUGAAGUCUUUCUUGGGAUAGGGACCGGUAAAGACUGGAUGAAAAUAACGCGUGACCUUAAUGUGGACCUGCAGAAAGGACUGACGUUAAUAAGGAGCUCAAAAAAGAAAGCAAAACCCCGGGACUUAAGGGUUCGUAGUAUUACACUUCGGGGGUGGGGAUACAUUGAUAAUAUUACUCUUUGUACUUCUGCACACAUGGCUCACUUUUUUGCAGUUGCUGACUGGUUUGUUCGUCAUCAAGAUGAAGAUGGUGGUUGGCCAAUCAUGGUAUCACGUCAUCUUUCUCCUAUAAUGGCAGACCUCGCUCCAGGCUGGUACUCCGCAAUGGGACAGGGUCAGGCCAUCUCUGUCCUAACCCGAGCUUUUAAAGUCACAGGGAAUGUGACUUACCUUCAUACAGCAGUUAACGCUGUUAAACCAUUUAGAGUGCGAUCAGAAAAUCAUGGUGUGAUGACCACUUUUGCAGGAAAAUACAUCUGGUAUGAAGAGUAUCCCACUGUACCCAGUUCAUAUGUGCUUAAUGGUUUCAUCUACUCCCUUAUGGGACUUUAUGAUCUUAAAAUGACUUGCACACAAAAAGACUGUAAAGAAGUAGCAAAGUUAUAUGAAGAUGGAAUGAUUUCUUUAAAAAAGAUUUUGCCUCUCUUUGACACAGGUUCGGGGUCAACGUAUGAUCUUCGACACUUUUCACUGGGGAUAGCACCCAAUUUGGCGCGGUGGGACUACCAUACCACUCACAUUAAUCAGCUCCUGCUGUUAAGUACUUUUGAAAGUGACCCCAUCUUUAAAUCGGUUGCUGAUCGAUGGAUAGGCUACAUGAAAGGUAAAAGGGCAGCACACAACUGAAGUCCACAUUUGAAAUAGAAAAAAAAAAGUACAUUCCACUAAAAUAAUUUGAUGAAAAAUCAUUAACUGUAGUUGUCAGCACUCAUUAGUGGUUUUGAUGUGGGUCAUAAAUAUUUUACGAAGGAGCAGUAUCAUGUCGAAGACUGAUUGACCAUCCUGCUGUAAUUUUUUUACAUCAGGCAUAAUAUAUGUUUCCCAGUUCUUCUAAGUAUCACUUUUAAUCACUUUUUUUUUGGCAUGCUAAAAUUAUUUAUUACAAAUAUAAAAGUAUUGUACUGUUAAAUAAUAACCAAUAGUUAUAACUAGUAUUUCCAAUAAACCCCAUAUUUACGACUAAGUUUGGGGGGGGGGGGUUGUGAUAAAACAAUUUCAAAAUGCUGUUGCAGUUCCAAGUUUUAGUGAAAUGUGUAUUUAUAUUUCAACCUUUUUCAAAAAGUACUUUACUGUUACAGUAAUGUUUGAUGUUUUGUAUAUUUAUCAAUUAACUAUGAGUAUGAGAAGUGUAGAAAUUUUCCAAGUUAUUUAAGUUUAGCUUGAAACUACUUCAGUUUUCGACUGUUAGGAAAUGGAUGUUACACUUAACAGUUUACUUUAAUUCACGAGGCACAGCUGUAUCAACACAUACAUACAAACUAGAUGUUUAAUUUGGAAACUUAAUUUGUGACUCCUAUUAAUCUGACUAUUUUAUAUUGCCUAAAUUUUAAUAGAAGAAAAUGGUGUACAAAGCUUAUUUUCACAGUAACGAUGGUAUCCGAAGAAAAGGCAAAGCUUUAGGUAAUCCUGCACAAUUUUAUUACGGUACAAUAAUAAAGCUUUAGGUAAUCCUGCAUAAUUUUAUUACGGUAUAAUAAUAAAGCUUUAGGUAAUCCUGCACAAUUUUAUUAUGGUACAAUAAUAAAGCUUUAGGUAAUCCUGCACAAUUUUAUUAUGGUACAAUAAUAAAGCUUUAGGUAAUCCUGCACAAUUUUAUUAUGGUAUAAUAAUAAAGCUUUAGGUAAUCCUGCACAAUUUCAUUAUGGUACAAUAAUAAAGACACACAAGUAUUUCCAGAAUAAACUGAAUUAAAAAAAAAUUUCUUCAAAUUUUGAUUUAAAGGCAUGCAAAUGUAAUUCUUCUAAAGGUACAGUUGUACCAUCCACUAAUUCUCAAUUAUGUUUUAAAGAAUUGAUUGUUUGAAAAACUAAUCUAAGUUCUAAAUAUUUAGAAUUUUUCUCAGUUUAAAAUUCAAAGACUUGAAUAUUUUCUCUAUUUUAAAGAUUUAUUUUUUAUUAGUUAUUGGACUUACGACUCUAAAGUUCAGGGUUUGAUAUCUGUAAUGGGCAGAGCACAGAUAACCCAUUGUACAGCUUUGUGUGUAACCAAAAAUCAAUGUUAAUGGACAGUAGAUAAGUUAUUAUUUGUUAUCAAAUUUGAUACUGCAGUCAUGGAAAGUGUUUACUAAUAAUGGCUGCAAACUUGCUUACUUUGAAAUAUCAAUCCACAUAUUGUAUUUUUAAUUGAACCUUCAUUGAAAAAGAUCAUUUCUAAAGAUCCAUGGCUAGGGAGCCCAAAUCUUAUUCUGUAGGUUGUGAAUUUGAAUCCCAUCACCGAACGGUGCUCACCUUUUCAGCCCUAGGUUGUUGUGACGUGAAUAUCAAUCUCACUUUUCACUAGUAAACGAGUAGCCCACGAGUUGGCUGUGGGUGGUAUUGACCAGCUACCUUCCCUCUAGUCUAUCAGUUCAAAAUUAGGAAUGGCUAGUGCAGAUAGCCCAUCAAGUAUCUUUGCACAAAAUUCGAAAACAAACUAACACAGACCCAAAAGUUCAAGCACUGUUCUUUCUUUUAGGGACAAAAGGAUUGGUAGCUUAGAGAGGAGUUUUAACUUUCUGUACUUUUUCAAUAGCUUAGAAAUGCUGCAGUUUCAUUAUAGAAAAAGAAAA